This 411-nucleotide ribosomal RNA is filed under the name uncultured bacterium. RNAcentral's name for it is "bacterial SSU rRNA". It matches the Rfam family "Bacterial small subunit ribosomal RNA", at positions 121 to 527 of the family's 1533-position model. The record is from RNAcentral.
GGAAUCUGCCUGAUAGUGGGGGACAACCCGGGGAAACUCGGGCUAAUACCGCAUACGCACUACGGUGGAAAGCCGGGGACCGCAAGGCCUGGCGCUAUCAGAUGAGCCCAAGUCGGAUUAGCUAGUUGGUAGGGUAACGGCCUACCAAGGCGACGAUCCGUAACUGGUCUGAGAGGACGACCAGUCACACCGGAACUGAGACACGGUCCGGACUCCUACGGGAGGCAGCAGUGGGGAAUAUUGGACAAUGGGCGAAAGCCUGAUCCAGCGACGCCGCGUGGGUGAAGAAGGCCUGCGGGUUGUAAAGCCCUUUCGGUGGGGAAGAAAAGCCUCGAGUUAAUACCUCGGGGUCUUGACGUAACCCAUAGAAGAAGCACCGGCUAACUCUGUGCCAGCAGCCGCGGUAAUACA